RNAcentral lists this ribosomal RNA (252 nucleotides) under uncultured bacterium. RNAcentral's name for it is "partial 16S ribosomal RNA". It matches the Rfam family "Bacterial small subunit ribosomal RNA", at positions 524 to 776 of the family's 1533-position model. The record is from RNAcentral.
UACGAAGGGGGCUAGCGUUGCUGGAAUCACUGGGCGUAAAGCGCACGUAGGCGGCUUUCUAAGUCAGGGGUGAAAUCCUGGAGCUCAACUCCAGAACUGCCUUUGAUACUGGAGAGCUUGAGUCCGGGAGAGGUGAGUGGAACUCCGAGUGUAGAGGUGAAAUUCGUAGAUAUUCGGAAGAACACCAGUGGCGAAGGCGGCUCACUGGCCCGGUACUGACGCUGAGGUGCGAAAGCGUGGGGAGCAAACAGG